AUGCAAGUCGAGCGGAAACGACACUAACAAUCCUUCGGGUGCGUUAAUGGGCGUCGAGCGGCGGACGGGUGAGUAAUGCCUAGGAAAUUGCCUUGAUGUGGGGGAUAACCAUUGGAAACGAUGGCUAAUACCGCAUAAUGCCUACGGGCCAAAGAGGGGGACCUUCGGGCCUCUCGCGUCAAGAUAUGCCUAGGUGGGAUUAGCUAGUUGGUGAGGUAAUGGCUCACCAAGGCGACGAUCCCUAGCUGGUCUGAGAGGAUGAUCAGCCACACUGGAACUGAGACACGGUCCAGACUCCUACGGGAGGCGGCAGUGGGGAAUAUUGCACAAUGGGCGAAAGCCUGAUGCAGCCAUGCCGCGUGUAUGAAGAAGGCCUUCGGGUUGUAAAGUACUUUCAGUUGUGAGGAAGGGGGUAGUGUUAAUAGCGCUAUCUCUUGACGUUAGCAACAGAAGAAGCACCGGCUAACUCCGUGCCAGCAGCCG
RNAcentral lists this ribosomal RNA (483 nucleotides) under uncultured Vibrio sp. RNAcentral's name for it is "bacterial SSU rRNA". It matches the Rfam family "Bacterial small subunit ribosomal RNA", at positions 55 to 517 of the family's 1533-position model. Lineage: Bacteria; Pseudomonadati; Pseudomonadota; Gammaproteobacteria; Vibrionales; Vibrionaceae. The record is from RNAcentral.